CCGGUGUGUCUGGUAAUCGCCUGACUUUUGUUAGGAGGAAAGUCCGAACACACCCGCACGUAUUGUGUGGAGCACGUUGCGGGUAAUUCCCGUCGGGCGAAGCCGUGCACCAAUUCGGUACAUGGCAAGCCUCGCGGUGCGAACAGAAACGCCUUUGUUGGCAACAACGAAGAGCGCCGCAUGCUGAAAAAAUGGCGUAGCCCCUCACUUGCAUGCAAGUGAGGGGGUGCAACGGCAAAAUCCGAACGUGUGUGCAAGGCCGUUCCCCCACCACUUUUGUUACCUAGGUAAAGUGGUAUAUUUAGCUUAGGAUACAAAAGUGGUGGGGGAGAGCCGCUUGAGCCGGCUGGCAACAGCUCGGCCCAGAUAAAUGAUUACCAACCUGCCACGCAGGUUCAACAUAAUUCGGCUUACCGACACACCAUCAAU
This 429-nucleotide RNase P RNA is filed under the name Parcubacteria group bacterium SW_6_46_9. Its description in RNAcentral is "RNase P RNA component class A". It matches the Rfam family "Bacterial RNase P class A". Rfam says of the family: Ribonuclease P (RNase P) is a ubiquitous endoribonuclease, found in archaea, bacteria and eukarya as well as chloroplasts and mitochondria. Its best characterised activity is the generation of mature 5'-ends of tRNAs by cleaving the 5'-leader elements of precursor-tRNAs. Cellular RNase Ps are ribonucleoproteins. The record is from RNAcentral.